GACGAACGCUGGCGGCGGGCUUAACACAUGCAAGUCGAACGAUAAACUCCGUGCUUGCACGGAGUGGAAAGUGGCGCACGGGUGAGUAACGCGUAGGCAAUCUACCCUCAGCAGGGGAACAACCAGUGGAAACGCUGGCUAAUGCCCCAUACUGUCGUAGCACCGCAUGGUGCAACGAUCAAAGUUCAGGCGGCUGAGGAUGAGCCUGCGUUAGAUUAGCUAGCUGGUAGGGUAACGGCCUACCAGGGCUACGAUCUAUAGCGGGUCUGAGAGGAUGAUCCGCCACACUGGCACUGAGACACGGGCCAGACUCCUACGGGAGGCAGCAGUGAGGAAUAUUGCGCAAUGGACGAAAGUCUGACGCAGCCACGCCGCGUGCAGGAAGAAACCCCUCCGGGGCGUAAACUGCUUUUAUAUGGGAAGAACACCCUAUUCGGUAGGGUCUGACGGUACCAUACGAAUAAGGACCGGCUAACUCCGUGCCAGCAGCCGCGGUAAUACGGAGGGUCCAAGCGUUGUCCGGAAUCACUGGGUGUAAAGGGUGCGCAGGCGGGCUUGUAAGUCAGAGGUGAAAUCCCCCGGCCUAACCGGGGAACUGCCUUUGAUACUGCAAGUCUUGAGUCUUGGAGAGGUUGCCAGAAUUCGUGGUGUAGCGGUGAAAUGCGUAGAUAUCACGAGGAAUACCUGAUGCGUAGGCGGGCAACUGAACAAGUACUGACGCUGAGGCACGAAAGCGUGGGGAGCGAACAGGAUUAGAUACCCUGGUAGUCCACGCCGUAAACGAUGGAUGCUCGAUGCUGGUCCGUUUCAGGGGCAGUGUCCAAGCUAACGCGUUAAGCAUCCCACCUGGGGAGUACGAUCGCAAGGUUGAAACUCAAAGGAAUUGACGGGGGCCC
Molecule: ribosomal RNA, 896 nt
Filed under: uncultured bacterium
Lineage: Bacteria
Description: bacterial SSU rRNA
Rfam family: Bacterial small subunit ribosomal RNA
Source: RNAcentral